This 466-nucleotide ribosomal RNA is filed under the name uncultured bacterium. Its description in RNAcentral is "bacterial SSU rRNA". It matches the Rfam family "Bacterial small subunit ribosomal RNA", at positions 791 to 1253 of the family's 1533-position model. The record is from RNAcentral.
UAGUCCACGCCGUAAACAAUGGAUACUAGCUGUUUAUUUCGAUUUUUUCGUAAUGAGUGGCCAAGCGAAAGUGAUAAGUAUCCCACCUGGGGAGUACGUUCGCAAGAAUGAAACUCAAAGGAAUUGACGGGGGGCCCGCACAAGCGGUGGAGCAUGUGGUUUAAUUCGAUGAUACGCGAGGAACCUUACCAAGGCUUAAAUGCAAUACGAAUACUAUGGAAACAUAGUAGUCUAUCAGACGGAUUGCAAGGUGCUGCAUGGUUGUCGUCAGCUCGUGUCGUGAGAUGUUCGGUUAAGUCCGGCAACGAGCGCAACCCACAUCUUUAGUUGCCAGCAUUCAGUUGGGCACUCUAAAGAAACUGCCCGUGAUAAGCGGGAGGAAGGUGUGGAUGACGUCAAGUCCUCAUGGCCCUUACGGGGUUGGGGCUACACACGUGCUACAAUGGUAGUGACAGUGAGUUAAUCU